GCAGAAGGCCUGACGAUCGCCGGUUGGUGGUGCCCGCUCGCGGCGCACCAUCGACGGGAGGAAAGUCCGAGCUCCAUAGGGCAGGGUGCCGGGUAACGCCCGGGAGGAGCGAUCCUACGGAUAGUGCAACAGAGAGCAGACCGCCGCCCCGCAUUUGCGUCGGCGGUAAGGGUGAAACGGUGGGGUAAGAGCCCACCGCGCGGCCGGUAACGGUCGUGGCAAGGUAAACCCCACCCGGAGCAAAGCCACGCAGGGGGCGCCGUGCAGUCGUUGGGCACGAAAGAGCUGCCCGCUCAAGCCCCCGGGUAGGCUGCUUGAGGUGUCCGGUAACGGGCACCCUAGAGGAAUGAUCGUCGCCGUCGGGAAACCGACGGAACAGAACUCGGCUUACGGCCUUCUGCGGCC
This 405-nucleotide RNase P RNA is filed under the name Polyangiaceae bacterium. RNAcentral describes it as "RNase P RNA component class A". It matches the Rfam family "Bacterial RNase P class A". Rfam says of the family: Ribonuclease P (RNase P) is a ubiquitous endoribonuclease, found in archaea, bacteria and eukarya as well as chloroplasts and mitochondria. The record is from RNAcentral. Lineage: Bacteria; Pseudomonadati; Myxococcota; Polyangiales; Polyangiaceae.